RNAcentral lists this ribosomal RNA (491 nucleotides) under uncultured bacterium. Its description in RNAcentral is "partial 16S ribosomal RNA". It matches the Rfam family "Bacterial small subunit ribosomal RNA", at positions 29 to 507 of the family's 1533-position model. The record is from RNAcentral.
AGUGAACGCUGGCGGUAGGCCUAACACAUGCAAGUCGAACGGCAGCACAGUAAGAGCUUGCGGUUACGGGUGGCGAGUGGCGGACGGGUGCGGAAUACAUCGGAAUCUACUUUUUCGUGGGGAUAACGAAGGGAAACUUACGCUCAUACCGCAUACGACCUACGGGUGAAAGCAGUGGAUCUUCGGACCUUGCGCUAAUGAAUGAUCCGAUGUCGGAUUAGCUAGUUGGCGGGGUAAAGGCCCACCAAGGCGACGAUCCGUAGCUGGUCUGAGAGGAUGAUCAGUCACACUGGAACUGAGACACGGUCCAGACUCCUACGGGAGGCAGCAGUGGGGAAUAUUGGACAAUGGGCGAAAGCCUGAUCCAGCCAUACCGCGUGGGUGAAGAAGGCCUUCGGGUUGUAAAGCCCUUUUGUUGGGGAAGAAAAGCAGCAGGUUAAUACCCCGCUGUUCUGACGGUACCCAAAGAAUAAGCACCGGCUAACUUCGUG